UCCCAUGUGGUCUAGUGGCAUAAUAUCUGGCUCUCACCCAGAAGACCUCGAGUUCGAUUCCCGGCGUGGUUA
Cordylochernes scorpioides is the source of this 72-nucleotide non-coding RNA. The record is from the annotation of a GenBank genome assembly. NCBI's taxonomy places the organism in Eukaryota, Metazoa, Arthropoda, Arachnida, Pseudoscorpiones, Chernetidae.